This 253-nucleotide ribosomal RNA is filed under the name uncultured bacterium. RNAcentral's name for it is "partial 16S ribosomal RNA". It matches the Rfam family "Bacterial small subunit ribosomal RNA", at positions 524 to 776 of the family's 1533-position model. The record is from RNAcentral.
UACGAAGGGGGCUAGCGUUGCUCGGAAUCACUGGGCGUAAAGGGUGCGUAGGCGGGUCUUUAAGUCAGGGGGGAAAUCCUGGAGCUCAACUCCAGAACUGCCUUUGAUACUGAGGAUCUUGAGUCCGGGAGAGGUGAGUGGAACUGCGAGUGUAGAGGUGAAAUUCGUAGAUAUUCGCAAGAACACCAGUGGCGAAGGCGGCUCACUGGCCCGGUAGUGACGCUGAGGCACGAAAGCGUGGGGAGCAAACAGG